AUUGAACGCUGGCGGCAUGCCUUACACAUGCAAGUCGAACGGCAGCGCGGGAGCAAUCCUGUCGGCGAGUGGCGAACGGGUGAGUAAUAUAUCGGAACGUGCCCUGUAGCGGGGGAUAACCUAUCGAAAGAUGGACUAAUCCCGCAUACGCUCUACGGAGGAAAGCGGGGGUCGCAAGACCUCGCACUACAGGAGCGGCCGAUAUCGGAUUAGCUAGUUGGCGGGGUAAAAGCCCACCAAGGCUACGAUCCGUAGCUGGUCUGAGAGGAUGAUCAGCCACACUGGAACUGAGACACGGUCCAGACUCCUACGGGAGGCAGCAGUGGGGAAUUUUGGACAAUGGGCGCAAGCCUGAUCCAGCCAUGCCGCGUGAGUGAAGAAGGCCUUCGGGUUGUAAAGCUCUUUCGGCAGGAAAGAAAUGGUUCGUGCUAAUACCUCGGACUGAUGACGGUACCUGAAGAAGAAGCACCGGCUAAUUACGUGCCAGCAGCCGCGGUAAUACGUAGGGUGCAGGCGUUAAUCGGAAUUACUGGGCGUAAAGCGUGCGCAGGCGGUUUCUUAAGUCAGAUGUGAAAUCCCCGGGCUUAACCUGGGAACUGCGUUUGAAACUGGGUGACUUGAGUGCGGCAGAGGGGGGUGGAAUUCCACGUGUAGCAGUGAAAUGCGUAGAUAU
Molecule: ribosomal RNA, 673 nt
Filed under: uncultured bacterium
Lineage: Bacteria
Description: bacterial SSU rRNA
Rfam family: Bacterial small subunit ribosomal RNA
Source: RNAcentral